This is a non-coding RNA of Phrynosoma platyrhinos (Desert horned lizard), 72 nucleotides long. NCBI's taxonomy places the organism in Eukaryota, Metazoa, Chordata, Lepidosauria, Squamata, Phrynosomatidae. The record is from the annotation of a GenBank genome assembly.
ACCAGUGUGGUGCAGUGAUUUGAACAUUGGAUUAGGACUCUAGAGACCAGGGUUUGAAUCCCAGCUCCGCCG